RNAcentral lists this ribosomal RNA (483 nucleotides) under uncultured bacterium. Its description in RNAcentral is "partial 16S ribosomal RNA". It matches the Rfam family "Bacterial small subunit ribosomal RNA", at positions 30 to 507 of the family's 1533-position model. The record is from RNAcentral.
UUGCACGCUGGCGGCAGGCCUAACACAUGCAAGUCGAGCGGAUGAAGGGAGCUUGCUCCUGGAUUCAGCGGCGGACGGGUGAGUAAUGCCUAGGAAUCUGCCUGGUAGUGGGGGAUAACGUCCGGAAACGGGCGCUAAUACCGCAUACGUCCUGAGGGAGAAAGUGGGGGAUCUUCGGACCUCACGCUAUCAGAUGAGCCUAGGUCGGAUUAGCUAGUUGGUGGGGUAAAGGCCUACCAAGGCGACGAUCCGUAACUGGUCUGAGAGGAUGAUCAGUCACACUGGAACUGAGACACGGUCCAGACUCCUACGGGAGGCAGCAGUGGGGAAUAUUGGACAAUGGGCGAAAGCCUGAUCCAGCCAUGCCGCGUGUGUGAAGAAGGUCUUCGGAUUGUAAAGCACUUUAAGUGGGGAGGAAGGGCAGUAAGUUAAUACCUUGCUGUUUUGACGUUACCAACAGAAUAAGCACCGGCUAACUUCGUG